Molecule: transfer RNA, 71 nt
Filed under: human gut metagenome
Also listed under: 1 other name
Rfam family: tRNA
About the family: Transfer RNA (tRNA) molecules are approximately 80 nucleotides in length.
Source: RNAcentral
GGGGUGUAGCUCAAUUGGUAGAGCGUCUGCAUGGCAUGCAGAAGGUCGUCGGUUCGAUUCCGAUCAUCUCC